This 466-nucleotide ribosomal RNA is filed under the name uncultured bacterium. RNAcentral describes it as "partial 16S ribosomal RNA". It matches the Rfam family "Bacterial small subunit ribosomal RNA", at positions 28 to 507 of the family's 1533-position model. The record is from RNAcentral.
GAUGAACGCUGGCGGCGUGCUUAACACAUGCAAGUCGAACGGAAAGGCCCAAGCUUGCUUGGGUGCUCGAGUGGCGAACGGGUGAGUAACACGUGGGUGAUCUGCCCUGCACUUUGGGAUAAGCCUGGGAAACUGGGUCUAAUACCGGAUAGGACCAUCGUUUAGUGUCGGUGGUGGAAAGUUUUUCGGUGUGGGAUGAGCUCGCGGCCUAUCAGCUUGUUGGUGGGGUAAUGGCCUACCAAGGCGUCGACGGGUAGCCGGCCUGAGAGGGUGUACGGCCACAUUGGGACUGAGAUACGGCCCAGACUCCUACGGGAGGCAGCAGUGGGGAAUAUUGCACAAUGGGCGCAAGCCUGAUGCAGCGACGCCGCGUGGGGGAUGACGGCCUUCGGGUUGUAAACUCCUUUCGCCAAGGACGGAGCGUUUUGUGACGGUACUUGGAGAAGAAGCACCGGCUAACUACGUG